CGAGAAAGCCCGCAAGGGUGAGUAAAGCGGCGCACGGGUGCGUAACACGUGGGUAAUCUGCCCUAGAGUCCGGAAUAACUCGCCGAAAGGCGUGCUAAUGCCGGAUGAGACCACGGGAGCCUCGGCUCCUGCGGGAAAAGGUGGCCUCUGUAUACAAGCUAUCACUUCAGGAUGAGCCCGCGGCCCAUCAGCUAGUUGGCGGGGUAACGGCCCACCAAGGCUACGACGGGUAGCUGGUCUGAGAGGACGAUCAGCCACACUGGAACUGAGACACGGUCCAGACUCCUACGGGAGGCAGCAGUGGGGAAUCUUGCGCAAUGGGCGAAAGCCUGACGCAGCAGCGCCGCGUGUGUGAUGAAGGUCUUCGGAUCGUAAAGCACUGUCGCGAGGGACG
This 394-nucleotide ribosomal RNA is filed under the name uncultured Anaeromyxobacter sp. RNAcentral describes it as "bacterial SSU rRNA". It matches the Rfam family "Bacterial small subunit ribosomal RNA", at positions 67 to 447 of the family's 1533-position model. The record is from RNAcentral. Lineage: Bacteria; Pseudomonadati; Myxococcota; Myxococcia; Myxococcales; Anaeromyxobacteraceae.